AAUGAACGUUGGCGGCGUGCCUAACACAUGCAAGUCGAGCGAGAAAGUUCCUUCGGGAAUGAGUACAGCGGCGGACGGGUGAGUAACACGUAAGAAUCUGCCCUAUAGUGAGGAAUACCCUCGAGAAAUUGAGGUUAAUACUGCAUAAGUCCCUGCGGGGAGAAAAGCGUCUUUUAUGUCGCUGCUAUAGGAUGAGCUUGCGGACUAUCAGCUUGUUGGUGAGGUAAAGGCUCACCAAGGCUAUGACGGUUAACCGGCCUGAGAGGGUGU
Molecule: ribosomal RNA, 270 nt
Filed under: uncultured bacterium
Lineage: Bacteria
Description: partial 16S ribosomal RNA
Rfam family: Bacterial small subunit ribosomal RNA
Source: RNAcentral